Molecule: long non-coding RNA, 844 nt
Organism: Ciona intestinalis (vase tunicate)
Lineage: Eukaryota; Metazoa; Chordata; Ascidiacea; Phlebobranchia; Cionidae
Source: RefSeq, a predicted model, not a curated record
CUAAUAUAAAAAAUAAUUUAUUAAAGUUUUGAAUUGUUUGAAUCACACUGAAGCAAUACAGACCGAAGUCUUGUGUUCAAAUCACAUCAAUCGUAUCUCGAUCACGAAUAAAGAUGCCUUGAGUGACAGCCACCGCAACUUUGGAUUGGCAACUUUAAAACAAUCCUACCUGUACAUGCAAGGAGAAAGUUGAAUUAACUCCGAAACGACAUAUCCACAAGAUCGUUACCGCACAGUUGACCUGCAUAUUCGAGUUGUGUUCGAAGCAGGAUCAUCUUGAAAUGCUCCAUAGAACCAACGCAUGUGAUCCACGUUAAGUGGAUCCAGACACUACGCCAUCUACUCUGCUAUAUACGAGUAUAUUGGUACGAAGCUGUCUCUGUGAACCACUGAUAAUAUUUUGAUAUCACGUCACACUACAAAUGACGUCACCCAGUUGGUUCUAUGAGCAAAUAAUGCCAAAGAAUAUUACGCGAAAUAAAAGAACAGCUGGAGGAAGAAAAGGCGAAGAUGGAAGACAAAGGCGGAACAGAAGCUAAAGUGCGAAGAUGGAGCCAUAGCAUACCCAGACUAAGAUUUAUUCUUAGUCAAUGUAAUUACUAACUUAUGUGAGCUGUAGCAUAAAAGUCCCCUAUACUUUAUUGAAUGCUUGUUUAAAAUUUAAUGUUUAUGUGGUACACUGUGUGGUGUGGGGUGGAGUGGGGAAUUAUAUACGGAGAUCAAAAGAAUAAUGUCCACCUUUGUACACGUUAGUAAUGAAACGUGGUUGGGAAUCUUGGGUUUUAUUUCUCCAUGUGUAUGUGUGUGUAAACAAGCUGCAUAAGAACGGUGCGCGCAGGUCAGA